This 1243-nucleotide ribosomal RNA is filed under the name metagenome. Its description in RNAcentral is "bacterial LSU rRNA". It matches the Rfam family "Bacterial large subunit ribosomal RNA", at positions 1564 to 2815 of the family's 2925-position model. The record is from RNAcentral.
UGAUGACGAGACGCUAAGGCGUUGAAGCAGUGUAUGUCAGACUUCCAAGAAAAAGCUCGCAAUGUCACAAAUAAAGAAUGCCUGUACCAUAACCGACACAGGUGGGUAGGUAGAGUAUACUAAGGGGCGCGAGAUAACUCUCUCUAAGGAACUCGGCAAAAUGACUCCGUAACUUCGGGAGAAGGAGUGCCUUAUUUAUAAGGUUGCAAUAACAAGAUCCAAGCAACUGUUUAUCAAAAACACAGGUCUCCGCUAAGUCGUAAGACGAUGUAUGGGGGCUGACGCCUGCCCAGUGCCAGAAGGUUAAAGAAGUUGGUUAGUGUAUGCGAAGCUGAUGACUGAAGCCCUGGUGAACGGCGGCCGUAACAAUAACGGUCCUAAGGUAGCGAAAUUCCUUGUCGGGUAAGUUCCGACCCGCACGAAAGGCGUAAUGAUUUGGAUACUGUCUCGGAGAGAGGCUCGGUGAAAUAGACUUGUCUGUGAAGAUGCGGACUACCUGCACCAGGACAGAAAGACCCUAUGAAGCUUUACUGUAACUUGAAAUUGGAAUUGGACUUUGCUUGCGCAGUAUAGGUGGGAAGCGUUGAAAAUAUUCUUGCGGGAGUAUUGGAGCUAUCAGUGAGAUACCACUCUUGUAAUGUUAGAUUUCUAACUUUGAACCAUAAUCUGGUCAAAGAACAGUUUCAGGUGGGCAGUUUGACUGGGGCGGUCGCCUCCCAAAUGGUAACGGAGGCGUACAAAGGUUUCCUCUGAACGGAUAGAAAUCGUAUCUAGAGUGUAAAGGCAUAAGGAAGCUUGACUGUGAGACCUACAAGUCGAGCAGGGACGAAAGUCGGUCUUAGUGAUCUGACGGUACUGAGUGGAAAGGCCGUCACUCAACGGAUAAAAGUUACUCUAGGGAUAACAGGCUGAUCUCCCCCAAGAGUUCACAUCGACGGGGAGGUUUGGCACCUCGAUGUCGGCUCAUCGCAUCCUGGGGCGGUAGUACGUCCCAAGGGUUGGGCUGUUCGCCCAUGAAAGCGGUACGCGAGCUGGGUUCAGAACGUCGUGAGACAGUUCGGUCCAUAUCCGGUGUAGGCGCUAGAAUAUUGAGAGGAGCCUUCUUUAGUACGAGAGGACCGAGAAGGACACACCGCUGGUGUACCAGUUAUCGUGCCAACGGUAAACGCUGGGUAGCUAUGUGUGGAGUGGAUAACCGCUGAAAGCAUCUAAGUGGGAAGCCCACCUCGAAAUGAGUAUUCGC